This 497-nucleotide ribosomal RNA is filed under the name uncultured bacterium. Its description in RNAcentral is "partial 16S ribosomal RNA". It matches the Rfam family "Bacterial small subunit ribosomal RNA", at positions 28 to 507 of the family's 1533-position model. The record is from RNAcentral.
GAUGAACGCUGGCGGCGUGCCUAACACAUGCAAGUCGAGCGAAUGGACGGGAAUCGUGCUUGUCUGAAGCUACCGACGGACGAGUAAGUAACACGUAUAUAACCUACCUAUAAGACUAAGAUAACUUCAGGAAACCUGAGCUAACACCGGAUAAUAUUGUGAACCGCAUGGAUCAAAGGUCAAAGACGGACUUGCUGUCACUUGUAGAUGGUACCGCGCUGCAUGAGCUAGUUGGUAAGGUAACGGCAUACCAAGGCAACGAUGCGUAGCCGACCGGAGAGGGUGAUCAGUCACACUGGAACUGAGACACGGUCCAGACUCCUACGGGAGGCAGCAGUCGGGAAUAUUCCACAAUGGGCGAAAGCCUGAUCGAGCAACGCCGCGUGAGUGAUGAAGGUCUUCGGAUCGUAAAGCUCUGUUAGUUGGGAGGAAGAUAAGUGUGAUUAACUGUUCCCAUUUUGACGUUACCUAAACAGAAAGCCACGGCUAACUCCGUG